The submitters of this non-coding RNA (86 nucleotides) gave its source as unclassified sequences. The record is from Rfam.
UGAGUUUUCUGCGACUGACGGAUUAUUGCAGAGCACUGCAAGGGAACAGAAAAACUCUUUUUCAGCCGACCGUCUGGGCACACCUG